This is a long non-coding RNA of Prionailurus viverrinus (fishing cat), 344 nucleotides long. RefSeq lists it as uncharacterized. Lineage: Eukaryota; Metazoa; Chordata; Mammalia; Carnivora; Felidae. The record is from RefSeq and is a predicted model, not a curated record. The transcript is spliced from 2 exons.
GGGGGCCAGAGGGGGACAGCCUGCCCCGCCUGGGGGCCGCACGGGGCUCCUGGGAGGGAGGUGGGUGACUCCGCACUUUCAGUUGCUGGUGGGCCGAGGCUCAUGGGAGAUAUGCAGAUGAGCCCAGGGCAUCAUGGGAAAGGGCCCUUUAUACUCCCAGGUGCACUGCCUCCCUCCUUUCGGGGGGGGGGGGCGGGGUGCCUGUAGGAGGGAGGUGCCAGGCAGGCUUCCCAGAGGAUAGAGCCAUCUCGGGAGCUGAAGAAUCUUCCGGAAGUCCAACCUGCCCAACCUCUGCAGGUCUCUGUUGGACUGGGACCCAGCUCGCCCACCCCACCCCUCCCCAA